Molecule: ribosomal RNA, 394 nt
Filed under: uncultured bacterium
Lineage: Bacteria
Description: bacterial SSU rRNA
Rfam family: Bacterial small subunit ribosomal RNA
Source: RNAcentral
GACGAACGCUGGCGGCGUGCCUAACACAUGCAAGUGGAGCGACGAACCAGGCUUCGGCCUGGGGCAGAGCCGCGAACGGGUGAGUAACACGUGGGUAACCUGCCCUGAUGAUUGGGACAACCCGAGGAAACUCGGGCUAAUACCAAAUGUGCCCUCCGACCAUAAGGUCGCUGGGGAAAGAAGCUUCGGCCUCCGCAUCGGGAUGGGCCCGCGGCCCAUUAGCUUGUUGGUGAGGUAAGGCUCACCAAGGCAACGAUGGGUAGCUGGUCUGAGAGGACGAUCAGCCACACUGGGACUGAGACACGGCCCAGACUCCUACGGGAGGCAGCAGUGGGGAAUCUUGCGCAAUGCGCGAAAGCGUGACGCAGCAACGCCGCGUGGGGGAAGAAGGCCU